This 497-nucleotide ribosomal RNA is filed under the name uncultured bacterium. RNAcentral describes it as "partial 16S ribosomal RNA". It matches the Rfam family "Bacterial small subunit ribosomal RNA", at positions 28 to 507 of the family's 1533-position model. The record is from RNAcentral.
GAUGAACGCUGGCGGCGUGCCUAAUACAUGCAAGUCGAGCGAACAGACGAGGAGCUUGCUCCUCUGACGUUAGCGGCGGACGGGUGAGUAACACGUGGAGAACCUACCUAUAAGACUGGGAUAACUUCGGGAAACCGGAGCUAAUACCGGAUAAUAUAUUGAACCGCAUGGUUCAAUAGUGAAAGACGGUUUUGCUGUCACUUAUAGAAGUAUCCGCGCCGCAUUAGCUAGUUGGUAAGGAAACGGCUUACCAAGGCAACGAUGCGUAGCCGACCUGAGAGGGUGAUCGGCAACACUGGAACUGAGAAACGGUCAAGCCCCCUCCGGGAGGCAGCAGUAGGGAAUCUUCCGCAAUGAGCGAAAUCCUGCCGGAGCAACGCCGCGUGAGUGAUGAAGGUCUCCGGAUCUUAAAACUCUGUUAUUAGGGAAGACCAAAUGUGUAAGUAACUAUGCACGUCUUGACGGUACCUACUCAGAAAGCCACGGCUAACUACGUG